AGGAUAGAGGCCUACCAUGGUGGUAACGGGUAACGGGGUGUUAGGGCACGACACCGGAGAGGGAGCCUGAGAAACGGCUACCACAUCCAAGGAUGGCAGCAGGCGCGCAAAUUACCCAAUCCCGACACGGGGAGGUAGUGACAAUAAAUAACAAUACGGGGUUCUUUCGGAUCUCGUAAUUGGAAUGAGUACAAUUUAAAUCUCUUAACGAGGAACAAUUGGAGGGCAAGUCUGGUGCCAGCAGCCGCGGUAAUUCCAGCUCCAAUAGCGUAUAUUAAAGUUGUUGCAGUUAAAAAGCUCGUAGUUGAAUUUCGGGGUUAGUAGGUUGGUCAUGCCUCUGGUAUGUACUGGUCUCACUGAUUCCUCCUUCCUGAUGAACCGUAAUGCCAUUAAUUUGGUGUUGCGGGGAAUUUGGACUGUUACUUUGAAAAAAUUAGAGUGUUUAAAGCAAGCUAACGCUUGAAUACAUUAGCAUGGAAUAAUGAAAUAGGACGUUCGAUCCUAUUUUGUUGGUUUCUAGGGUUGACGUAAUGAUUAAUAGGGAUAGUUGGGGGCAUUAGUAUUCAAUUGUCAGAGGUGAAAUUCUUGGAUUUAUUGGAGACUAACUACUGCGAAAGCAUUUGCCAAGGAUGUUUUCAUUAAUCAAGAACGAAAGUUAGGGGAUCGAAGACGAUCAGAUACCGUCGUAGUCUUAACCAUAAACUAUGCCGACUAGGGAUCGGA
RNAcentral lists this ribosomal RNA (723 nucleotides) under uncultured fungus. Its description in RNAcentral is "SSU rRNA". It matches the Rfam family "Eukaryotic small subunit ribosomal RNA", at positions 330 to 1057 of the family's 1831-position model. Lineage: Eukaryota; Fungi. The record is from RNAcentral.